GUGGAAAGCCUUGGAUACCAGGUGAGGUGUCUGGACGUUUUCUGAGGGAUCAAUGCCGCUGGGGGUCAGAGCGGGGAGAGUCAGGGGAGUGUGGCAGGGUGCUGGCUAGCUUUGAUCCCUGCUGCCAGGAGGACGUGGCGUCUUCCCGUUCACAGAGCAGCAGCAUUCUUGGGGCAACAUCUUUGUGGCCCCGCCCUCCACACCCCGUUCACAAGUCCCGAGGCUGCGGUAAGCUGGGGCUAGCUUGGUGGCUCCUAAGAGCCCAACGUUGACAGCUCUUCCCAGCUCUGUCCUCGGUGACACUCUGUUGGUAGCUUGAAAUCAAAGUGGGAAUGUGUAUACAACAGAGACUGGCAAACGCUAGGAGUCAGGGUCUAGCUGGUUUGGUUUGUUUGUUUUAUCCCUCAUCGCCAUCACAGACGGCUGUUAAACCUUCACCAGCACGGCCCUGGGUGAUGGCAAGCCCCUGAAGGGGUUUACGCUGGAGAGUGAGAGUGGGGUCAGCCGUGACCACACUGAACUGGGAGAGAGUAUCUGUGGACGUGGGUCGUGCCUCCUUCCCUGUUGAGGAGGCUGGAGGGUGGGCGUGGGAGUGGCCCUGGGCCGAGAGAGUUGAGCCGUCUUCCCCAUCUGUUGGCCGAUUCUGAGGACCAAACUCCUUAGCGUGGUCUAGGCAAACUUUGACCCUCCUCACCCGGAGGAAACUCACACUGCCUUGCCUGAGCAGGCUCUGUCCCGGCCACACUGAACUGCUUUCAGCAUCUGAAACGCAGCCUGCUCCUCCUCCGUCCGAACCUGGCACUGAGGGUGCACGCAGUAAACACACACCUGACCGUAGCUCUCCUACUACAUGCUGGCCAAGCGUGAGAGCCGGGAUGGGGGGCGCUGGCUUUUCCAGGUGGGCAGAGGGGCUUGCCGGCAGAGAAAGCAUCUGAGCGGAGCUUGCUUUCCUAACGGUGAUUCUGGUUCGUCUUCACUACAUGGUGAAAGCAGCAGGAUUUGUUCAAUGCUUCAGAGUCGCAAAGCACUUGGCCCAAAGGAUCCUUCCAACAAGCUUGUAAGAUGUAAAUGUAAAAUGUAAAAUCCCAUUUCAGAGAUGAGGAAACUGAGGGCCAACUGGUAGACCCCAAGCCUUGACCCUGACUCCUGGGACCCUCCAUCUCGAGCUGGCUCCCUGAACUGGGGGCUUCAGAUGGUUCAUCCCAGGUGAGCUCAGAUGUCAGGAGCAGUCCAGCCUCCCCCAGGAGAUCAGAUCCAAGGUCUGACCCCAGAGACAGGUCUGCAGACCCCAUCACCACCGUCCCUCAAGGACCUGCCUCUUAAAAAUGGGCAUUAGUGCUGGCAGUGUUGCUUUUUUUUGCUCUUUUGGGAAAAGAAAAACCUGGCUUCUUAGAGCUGUUGUAUUUUAUUUUUCUGUAAAGAGGAAAUUAAUUUUAGUCUUUCUUUUUGGUUUAAAAUGUUGUUCUUUGCUUUUUCUGCCCUACAAUUUAAAAGGAAACAUUUGUCUGUUGAGAAAAGAAAUGAUAAUUAUAGACUAAAAAUUGUUUCUAUUCUGAUUUGAAAAAGUGACAAAAAAAUAAAAAAAUUCCAUCACACAGAUGGGGCCCUGCUGACGGAGGGUGUUUAACAAUGAAGCCCCAGGCUGGCUGGGGGCUCAGAAUGGCAUUCGAGGUAGAUUUGGGCUCCAGCAUUGCCUGGGAGAAGGGCUUUUUCCGAGGCUGCUCUCCAUUUCUGAUGCUGGGUAACAGCCCGUGUGGAGUGUGGACACUCUGACCCUCCACGCGGUUCAGCAGUGAGAGGACAGUUUACCUGUGGAUUGAAUGGUCCCUCUUAGGUGAACUGUGUGCCGAGGCCAGCACUCCCUCUCAUGGCCCCUGAGCUUGAGAGCCUGCUAGCCUUAUUCCCUUAGCCGAGAGUUUUACAAAACUACAAUCACUCCAAGUCCUUUGAUCAGUAAUGCAGGAAGCUGAUUAGACUGUGAAAUUAAACUAAUAAUGUCAUACUGUUAACCCUCGAAAGAGCUCAGAGUGAAGGCUAUUUCCUCCAUCCAUAUUGCCCUCUAGAUACAUGUAUUUACUUUUUGGAACAACUCCUAGGCGCACAUGCAUUCCUGGGACCCCUCUCUUUCCCCCAGACCCGGUGUGAUCCCCAGUGCAGUGCCCCACUUAAGGGAAGAACAACUGAGGCUGAGUGAUUGACGCCGUGUGGUCACACAGCUAAAGGAGAGAUGAGCCUGGCUCUAGAACACUGGUCCAGAACGCUUUGGUUGCCCGAAUUGUCUCCAGGGGCUGUUCCAGAAUUAACGACGUCUUUGUCCUUCCCUGGCCUUGCCACUGAGGAGGAAGAGCUAGCAUGCCCUUCAUGCCCUUCCCACUGGCCCUCCCACGGCUGGUCCUCCGCCGGGACCUGUCAGUUCCAUCACGGUGGAAUGUUGCCAGGGAUCAGACCCUCUCUCUAAAAGUGGUGAUGGUAUUUAAUAACUAAUUACUCUAAUGAUCCUGCAGAAAUGCUGGAGACCUGUUUUAGGAGAGAUGUCAAUUAGAGCCAUCUGCACGGUGAAUAAAGGAACCCUACCCCAGCUGUACUGUUGAAACAUGUUAGCGUUUUCCUACCAGCGGCCAUAUGGUACUUAACGAAAGUGAAUUGUCCACACUGCACAACCCGCGCCUCCUGAUGAAUACCAGCAUUUUGUUUUAGAAAAUAGUUCUUCAAUCGUGUGGAUAUUUGUCAAUGCAAUAAGUAGCAAGUUGGAAGCCGGCAAGCCCUUGAAUGCAAAAAGACUUCCCUCACCUCAAGAUGCUCUUCCCCCAUCCCAGCCCACCCCCUGCCCCCGCUGGCUGCCAAGCCCAGCUCCACCCCAGGCCCGUAUCCCAUCUGUGCUCAGUCCUCAGCAUCUGCUUUCGAAUCUGCUCAGGAGAGCCAAGGCCAUGCAGGGUUCUGGCACCACCCCACCUUGGCAUCUCGAUUCGUGUGAAAUCAGAAGCAGGAUGUCUGAAGCUAUGUAGAAUGGGAGCACGGAGGCUCCAGCUGGAAGGGCACAAAACAUUGGGCAAAAGUCACCCAAGAGUUGAGAAGUAAGUGUAGGAUGUUUGGGUGUGGCUUCCGAGAAGGGUUAGCUUUCUACUUGCAAUCUGUUCCUUUCAAGAGGUACAAAGCUCAGGUUGGUACCUGGACGCUCAGAGAGGUGGAGGAGGGUGGUUUCGGGGGCUCAGCAGAAGCCGGCCUAAAGCCUUGUCCUUGGCACCAGCACAGGCAGGGCCACCAAUCAGUAGUGACCGCAAGUUGUUGCCACCUGGUGGCCACUGCUGACCUGUGCCCAGAGAGCUGGGACGAGGGUACAGCCACCCUGUGGGUUCUGUUAACUGAGAACAGGCAGGUUUCAGAAGCCGACCAGCGCCAGGACCAGGCCUGUGCUGUGCUCUGAUAGUUAUGCCCCCACCUCCCACCCACUGCCAGGCUGUGCUGGGCAAGGGGACCAGACCCUCCACUCCCUUGUGGGGCUCUGUGGCCUCCACAAGCUGAAGGUCCUGCUGUCGGGACCGCAGGAGGAAGCUGUUUUAUUGCAGUGGCUCUGGGACCAACAGGAUUUCACUUGCUGGCAACAUCUCUUCUGGAAUUUUCCCUAGGACCGAAGUCACUUAUUAACGCUUAAGAAAGGACAAGCCUGACUGCCGUUCAUGAUACAGAUCUGCUGCAAGUCCUGAAAUCCAAUACGUUCUUCGCCAAACUGUGGUCCCUUAAAUCUCACUUAGUUCCAGUUCAGCAGCAACAGGUCCCUAGUUACAAUAAUGAUCCUAAGUUGAGCCGAACACAUCCCUAAAGGAAACCCUUCAGGGUGAAAACUAGCGGAAAUGAGCUCCCGUUUGUCUUGACCAGCAGGCUUCACCGUUUGCUUUCCAUGUCCGUGCCCUGAGUGUUGCCCCAUUCUCACUGACACCUGGCCCUGUAACAGACGCGUGUCUGAAAGAAGCAAGUCACGGUGACCCCAGGUGGCCACCUCAGCCAGGCGACCAAGGCCGCGGGCAGCCUCGAGCACACUUGACCAUGAAAGGUGCCCAGAGCACCUCAAGUAAGUCACUAGCCUUUCCAUGGGCCAAUGACCCUCGCAGACUAGAGCCCGCUCUGCUGCCUUUCUUCCCACCCCAUUUGAGGCCGUGCUUGGCAGUUACCCUAAAGAGUUAAGCCUUUCCUCAUUUUGGGGUUGGGCGGAAGGGUAGGGGAAGGCUGGGGCCAGUUUGACAUAUGCAGCCUGGUCUGAACAUGAGUGCUGUGCUCAGUCGCUGAAUUUGAUGAAUUGCUUU
This 4301-nucleotide long non-coding RNA is filed under the name Phocoena sinus (vaquita). RNAcentral describes it as "lncRNA (ENSPSNG00000006339.1)". The record is from RNAcentral. Lineage: Eukaryota; Metazoa; Chordata; Mammalia; Artiodactyla; Phocoenidae.